CUCCAUAAUCAAGAAGUACUGAAACUCGAGGUUAGACAAAGGGAAGAAUAAAGUUGAAGACUAAGUUGGUGAAUUUGGCUAUAAUUGGUACCGAGUAUUGCAAAGCUACUUCAAGGAUCCUAAAGAAGUCGGAGAUCGUCCACACUAUCAACCACAACUGCUCGGUAUUUUAUAUCGAAUCACGUUUGAGUUAUGGCAUGUAUAGGGAUUUAGUUAUUUUGUAUGUUUGUGAUUAUGAUUUUGCUAAAGAAUGGUGUGUAAGUAUUUGAUGAUGUAUGGUUAUUAAAAUGGUUAAGUA
This is a long non-coding RNA of Gossypium raimondii (Peruvian cotton), 298 nucleotides long. RefSeq lists it as uncharacterized. The transcript has 2 exons. Lineage: Eukaryota; Viridiplantae; Streptophyta; Magnoliopsida; Malvales; Malvaceae. The record is from RefSeq and is a predicted model, not a curated record.